RNAcentral lists this ribosomal RNA (543 nucleotides) under Microhyla berdmorei (Pegu rice frog). RNAcentral's name for it is "partial large subunit ribosomal RNA". It matches the Rfam family "Bacterial large subunit ribosomal RNA", at positions 1855 to 2615 of the family's 2925-position model. Lineage: Eukaryota; Metazoa; Chordata; Amphibia; Anura; Microhylidae. The record is from RNAcentral.
CAGCCUGCCAGUGACAAAGUUUAACGGCCGCGGUACCCUAACCGUGCAAAGGUAGCGCAAUCACUUGUUCUUUAAAUGAGGACUAGUAUGAACGGCAUCACGAGGGUUAUACUGUCUCCCCCCUUUUUUCAGUGAAACUGAUCUUCCCGUGAAGAAGCGGGAAUAUAAAUAUAAGACGAGAAGACCCCAUGGAGCUUUAAACUCAGAAUCAACUGCUACAAACUUAGCCUAAUAACUACGCAGGAAUGACUUCUAGUUUUAGGUUGGGGUGACCGCGGAGUAAAAUAAAACCUCCACGACGAAAGGAACUAACCGCCUAAACCAAGAGCCACAGCUCUAAGUAUUAAAACAUUAACCUAAUUGAUCCAAUUACUUGAUCAACGAACCAAGUUACCCUGGGGAUAACAGCGCAAUCCAUUUCAAGAGCUCAUAUCGACAAAUGGGUUUACGACCUCGAUGUUGGAUCAGGAUAUCCAAGUGGCGCAGCCGCUACUAACGGUUCGUUUGUUCAACGAUUAAAAUCCUACGUGAUCUGAGUUCAAA